CGAUCGUGUAGUCGAAGGGGCCACCCGGCGCCUGCGGUGCGUCGACACGCAGCCGGGUGUACCGGCCGUUCGUGAGCGCC
RNAcentral lists this transfer RNA (80 nucleotides) under Amycolatopsis taiwanensis. Its description in RNAcentral is "tRNA-Arg". Lineage: Bacteria; Bacillati; Actinomycetota; Actinomycetes; Pseudonocardiales; Pseudonocardiaceae. The record is from RNAcentral.